GUCAUCAAAAGCUGAUGAAUACUGCUGAUAAACUGACAUGCCUGUUCUGACUAAACCCACUGAAAUAACCAGGGUAGCAGGGAAGUAUCUACCUUCAAGGUGAUAAGAAGGAUGAGAAAAUGGUUUGUGAAGUUCCCAUUAGCAUACAAAAGCAGCAACAUCUGCUGGGAGUUUAAGAGGCUCAUUGCUGUCACUUAAUCAGCACCACAGGCUACAGUUGGCCACCUCUGCCCUUGUCAGCACUCAAGAUAUAAGGAGAUACUGACAACAACUGAUUGCUUACUGCAGAGCUAUUAAAAGAUGGGGAGAAGGACACAUACAGCCCUGGAGCCCUGUGGAUUAUUUUUCCAUCCACAGACACCCCAAACCUCACUCUGACUACUUUCAGCUUAGCACACUCUCCCCCAUAACUUUCCUCUGCUGCUGCCACAAAAUAACACUUUCGUUCCUGAAGCCUUCUGGGGAUAGCAAAAUUCAACCUCCUUGUUGCUGCUACAAAACUCAGAAAGCUUCUUAGAGACUGAAAGACAGAAUUAAUUGAGAACAUUAACAGUGUAAUUGCUCCACAGAGGUUUGGGGAAGGAAAUCCCAACUCUAACUCCCGUUCAU
This is a long non-coding RNA of Neopsephotus bourkii (Bourke's parrot), 609 nucleotides long. RefSeq lists it as uncharacterized. The transcript has 3 exons. Lineage: Eukaryota; Metazoa; Chordata; Aves; Psittaciformes; Psittacidae. The record is from RefSeq and is a predicted model, not a curated record.